UUUCCGUAGGUGAACCUGCGGAAGGAUCAUUAACAUGUCACGCAGUCAUGCUGCCGCAUGAACUGUACAAACCCACUCUGUGUACCUCUCCUGUUGCUUCCGCGGAGCCUGGAGCAUUUCAGAUGAGUUGUCUCUCGCACAGUCAAUUGCUGUGGGGGGUUGGCAACUCUCUGUGACUGCUCUUGAUUCACAGGCCCAGCGGGGUGAUACUUAAUUUCCGAAUUUACUAGUUCAUCUUUCUGAUCUAUGAACCAAAAAAAAAAUUGUUAAAACUUUCAGCAACGGAUCUCUUGGUUCUC
RNAcentral lists this unclassified non-coding RNA (299 nucleotides) under plant metagenome. RNAcentral describes it as "partial contains small subunit ribosomal RNA, internal transcribed spacer 1, and 5.8S ribosomal RNA". The record is from RNAcentral.